Long non-coding RNA from Herpailurus yagouaroundi (jaguarundi), 334 nucleotides. RefSeq lists it as uncharacterized. The transcript is spliced from 2 exons. The record is from RefSeq and is a predicted model, not a curated record. NCBI's taxonomy places the organism in Eukaryota, Metazoa, Chordata, Mammalia, Carnivora, Felidae.
GCAGUUAUCACGAAUAAAUCUCCAGUAGCCACUUUGGUCCUUGAGGAAGAAGGCAACACACUAGCAUGACAAAGCAGUGAUUCAAAAGGGUAAUUGUUUUACAUUUGAAAGCAGGAGAAAACUAAGGAGAAAUUAUGAAGAAAGCCCUCAAUGCUAACAUAAUCACUUUGGACUCCUGGCAAAAUAAGAGUGAAGGCUGAAACACUGCUCCUGUAUGUCUGUGUUAUUUAUGUAAUAAUUAGAAAAUGCCAAGGGAAAGCAUUUAAAUACAUGAAACAAAAGCAAUCAGAAUCUUAAAUGCCAGGAUGGAAAGGCCCAAUUAACUUAAAAAAAA